GCGGGAGGUUGGUCUAUAAAAAGGGCAAGAGUGCCUGUGGAGGCAUCACUUGGCCAUCCAUCCAUUCAGUGCUACUCGAUUUAGAAAAGAGGAGGGGAGGGGAAGAAAAGAAAAAGAGAGGAGAGGAGAGGAAGAAAGAAAGAAAAGAAAAUGAGAGGGAGAGAAGAGGAUGAGCGGCAAAGUCCUACCGAGAAGGGAAGGGGAGAGAAGAGGGGAAUUAGUGAAGCCUUGUCGGAUUUUAUCUUUAUUGGCGAGACGGUGUACCACUCUAACAGUGCGCUAUCAACAUUUUGUCGACUUGGACAUCAAAGCCAUCAUUAGCUGUACACCAAAUUUGCUUGGGAUAAGAAGCUUUAUGAGGUGUUCAAGCAUGCAGGCAAGAGAGAGUGUGAAGAUUGAACACGAGAAAAUCUUUCUACACUCCAAUAUGGACAUGAUCAAGGCUUCCAUAAACAAGCUGCAAUUAUUGAUUAUCGAUCAUUACUUCACAGGCUGCCACUACUACAUCCUCAGCCGUCGACAGAGUUGACAGUAGCUUGCACCACAGCUUGUCGUCCUUGCUUUAUGCAAGUCUUAAUUCCCAAUAUAAUGCCCGCAUCCUCCAUUUCAGAUAUU
Phragmites australis (common reed) is the source of this 615-nucleotide long non-coding RNA. RefSeq lists it as uncharacterized. The record is from RefSeq and is a predicted model, not a curated record. Lineage: Eukaryota; Viridiplantae; Streptophyta; Magnoliopsida; Poales; Poaceae. The transcript has 3 exons.